GGCUGGUCGGAAUGCAGUGGAGUUUACAAGUCAUUGAUCACAACUAGUUACAGAUUUGUUUCUCCUCCACUCCCACUGCUUUUUUUUUUUUUUGGACUAGCCAAAA
Macaca fascicularis (crab-eating macaque) is the source of this 106-nucleotide Y RNA. It matches the Rfam family "Y RNA". Rfam says of the family: Y RNAs are components of the Ro ribonucleoprotein particle (Ro RNP), in association with Ro60 and La proteins. The record is from Ensembl. NCBI's taxonomy places the organism in Eukaryota, Metazoa, Chordata, Mammalia, Primates, Cercopithecidae.